UGGGGAAUCUUGCACAAUGGGGGAAACCCUGAUGCAGCGACGCCGCGUGAGCGAUGAAGCCCUUCGGGGUGUAAAGCUCUUUCGGCAGGGAAGAUUAUGACGGUACCUGCAGAAGCAGCUGCGGCUAACUACGUGCCAGCAGCCGCGGUAAUACGUAGGCAGCGAGCGUUGUUCGGAGUUACUGGGCGUAAAGGGUGUGUAGGCGGUUGUUUAAGUUUGGUGUGAAAUCUCCCGGCUCAACUGGGAGGGUGCGCCGAAUACUGAAUGACUAGAGUGCGGGAGAGGAGAGUGGAAUUCCUGGUGUAGCGGUGAAAUGCGUAGAUAUCAGGAGGAACACCGGCGGUGUAGACGGCUCUCUGGACCGUAACUGACGCUGAGACACGAAAGCGUGGGUAGCAAACAGGAUUAGAUACCCUGGUAGUCCACGCCCUAAACGAUGCAUAUUUGGUGUGGGUCAUUCAGUUGAUCCGUGCCGGAGCUAACGCGUUAAAUAUGCCGCCUGGGGAGUACAGUCGCAAGGCUGA
RNAcentral lists this ribosomal RNA (524 nucleotides) under uncultured Acidobacteriota bacterium. Its description in RNAcentral is "bacterial SSU rRNA". It matches the Rfam family "Bacterial small subunit ribosomal RNA", at positions 355 to 897 of the family's 1533-position model. The record is from RNAcentral. Lineage: Bacteria; Pseudomonadati; Acidobacteriota.